RNAcentral lists this ribosomal RNA (404 nucleotides) under Fusobacteriota bacterium. RNAcentral's name for it is "Fusobacteria bacterium partial 16S ribosomal RNA". It matches the Rfam family "Bacterial small subunit ribosomal RNA", at positions 355 to 776 of the family's 1533-position model. The record is from RNAcentral. Lineage: Bacteria; Fusobacteriati; Fusobacteriota.
UGGGGAAUAUUGCACAAUGGAGGGAACUCUGAUGCAGCGACGCCGCGUGAGUGAUGAAGGAAUUCGUUUCGUAAAACUCUGUUCUAUGGGAAGAAAAGGACUGUACCAUAGGAGAAAGCUUCGGCUAAAUACGUGCCAGCAGCCGCGGUAAUACGUAUGGAGCGAGCGUUGUCCGGAAUUAUUGGGCGUAAAGGGUGCGCAGGCGGCUUUACAAGUUGGAUGUGAAAUAUUGUGGCUCAACCACAAACGUGCAUCCAAAACUGCAAAGCUUGAGUUAAGGAGAGGUAAGUGGAAUUCCUGGUGUAGCGGUGGAAUGCGUGGAUAUCAGGAGGAAUACCGGUGGCGGAGGCGACUUACUGGACUUAAACUGACGCUCAGGCACGAAAGCGUGGGGAGCAAACAGG